AUUGAACGCUGGCGGCAUGCCUUACACAAGCAAGUCGAACGGCAGCACGGGAGCAAUCCUGGUGGCGAGUGGCGAACGGGUGAGUAAAGUAUCGGAACGUGCCCAGUCGUGGGGGAUAACGUAGCGAAAGUUACGCUAAUACCGCAUACGAUCUAUGGAUGAAAGCGGGGGAUCGCAAGACCUCGCGCGAUUGGAGCGGCCGAUAUCAGAUUAGGUAGUUGGUGGGGUAAAGGCUCACCAAGCCGACGAGCUGUAGCUGGUCUGAGAGGACGACAAGCCACACUAGGACUGAGACACGGCCCAGACUCCUACGGGAGGCAGCAGUGGGGAAUUUUGGACAAUGGGCGAAAGCCUGAUCCAGCCAUGCCGCGUGCAGGAUGAAGGCCUUCGGGUUGUAAACUGCUUUUGUACGGAACGAAAAGGUUUGGCCUAAUAAGCUGAGUCCAUGACGGUACCGUAAGAAUAAGCACCGGCUAACUACGUGCCAGCCGCCGCGGUAA
This 500-nucleotide ribosomal RNA is filed under the name uncultured bacterium. Its description in RNAcentral is "partial 16S ribosomal RNA". It matches the Rfam family "Bacterial small subunit ribosomal RNA", at positions 30 to 523 of the family's 1533-position model. The record is from RNAcentral.